UACGAGGGGGGCAAGCGUUGUUCGGAAUUAUUGGGCGUAAAGGGCGCGUAGGCGGUGCGGUAAGUCACCUGUGAAAUCUCUGGGCUCAACUCAGAGUCUGCAGGCGAAACUGCCGUGCUGGAGUAUGGGAGAGGUGCGUGGAAUUCCCGGUGUAACGGUGAAAUGCGUAGAUAUCGGAAGGAACAUCAGUGGCGAAAGCGGCUUCCUGGACCAGCACCGACGUUCAGGCACGAAAGCGUGGGGAGCAAACAGG
This 253-nucleotide ribosomal RNA is filed under the name uncultured bacterium. RNAcentral describes it as "partial 16S ribosomal RNA". It matches the Rfam family "Bacterial small subunit ribosomal RNA", at positions 524 to 776 of the family's 1533-position model. The record is from RNAcentral.